This 117-nucleotide ribosomal RNA is filed under the name Pteropus alecto (black flying fox). The record is from RNAcentral. Lineage: Eukaryota; Metazoa; Chordata; Mammalia; Chiroptera; Pteropodidae.
GUCUACAGCCAUGCUAUCCUGAAUAAGCCCGAUCCUAUCUGAUCUCAGAAGCUAAGCAUGGUCGGGCCUGGUUAGUACUUGGAUGGGGACACCUAAGAAGACCAGGUGCUGCAGGAG